RNAcentral lists this long non-coding RNA (339 nucleotides) under Carica papaya (papaya). Its description in RNAcentral is "long non-coding RNA (CPAP_LNC013540)". The record is from RNAcentral. Lineage: Eukaryota; Viridiplantae; Streptophyta; Magnoliopsida; Brassicales; Caricaceae.
CGCAUCCCAUCACAUGCAGACAGGUUCAGCUCCAUGCGCCCUGUGUACGCACCAUUCGUGCAGCUAGCUUGUGCGCAGUAUCUUGCGCACAAGCUAGGCCUGCAUGCAGUAGGCUAGGUUGGUGCAUCAGCAGGCUAGGCCUGUAGCAUGCGAUAGACUGGGGCAGCAUGCUACUGCUUCAGUUAGUGUGCGUCUCACCCUUGAGUGCCAUGUGCUGCCUUGGGUAGUGUGCGCCACUAGUUGGGUAGUAACUGCCAACUUGAGCGUUGUGUUAUUGUCAUUUGGGCGACGUGUCACCAUUGUUGGGUGGCGUGUCUCUAUUUUUUGUGCCCCCAUCAU